UACGGAGGUUGCAAGCGUUAUCCGGAUUUAUUGGGUUUAAAGGGUGCGUAGGCGGACCUAUAAGUCAGUGGUGAAAGACUGUCGCUUAACGAUAGCAUUGCCAUUGAUACUGUAGAUCUUGAGUAUAUUUGAGGUGGGCGGAAUGAGUAGUGUAGCGGUGAAAUGCUUAGAUAUUACUCAGAACACCAAUUGCGAAGGCAGCUCACUAAACUAUAACUGACGCUGAGGCACGAAAGCGUGGGGAUCAAACAGG
This 253-nucleotide ribosomal RNA is filed under the name uncultured bacterium. Its description in RNAcentral is "partial 16S ribosomal RNA". It matches the Rfam family "Bacterial small subunit ribosomal RNA", at positions 524 to 776 of the family's 1533-position model. The record is from RNAcentral.